Molecule: transfer RNA, 82 nt
Filed under: Belgica antarctica
Lineage: Eukaryota; Metazoa; Arthropoda; Insecta; Diptera; Chironomidae
Description: tRNA IU25_tRNA_60
Rfam family: tRNA
About the family: Transfer RNA (tRNA) molecules are approximately 80 nucleotides in length. Their secondary structure includes four short double-helical elements and three loops (D, anti-codon, and T loops).
Source: RNAcentral
GCGGCUGUGACCGAGCGGUUAAGGUGAUUGAUUUAAAAUCAAUUGGGCUCUGCCCGCAUAGGUUCGAAUCCUAUCAGCCACG